CGACACAAGAGGUUUUACAGGUAAGGAGAAUCGGUUGUUUUUGCGUCUUAGAAACGGGAAGCCAAUGAUUAUAACUUGUAGGGUUGGAAUGGUUACGGCGGUUGAGGCGAACAAAACCAUCGAAGGAUCAGACCACAUUUUAUUUACCAUUCAUUAAUUAUAAUUUGCAGUAGUCUAAACUAAAAAAAUAGAAAAAAACCGCAGCGUACCAUUUGCGAACCGUUAUUACAUACAAAUAAACUUGGUCUGCAGCGGUUUAUUGUCCACCCAAAAAUAAAAUGGACUAAACGACUGACAAAUUAGACCGUUUUGUCCGCUACAUCUAUUCUAAACCAUAGUAACUAUAGUUCUUUCCAUGUAGAAGGAAGGAGGAAAAGAUAGUUUCU
Molecule: small RNA, 386 nt
Filed under: Arabidopsis thaliana (thale cress)
Lineage: Eukaryota; Viridiplantae; Streptophyta; Magnoliopsida; Brassicales; Brassicaceae
Description: ATSL192170
Source: RNAcentral